GCCUGCGCGGACGUCGAUGGGUUUGUGGGCGCAGGGCGCGAGGCGCGAGGCGGUAGCUGGGCUAGUCCUGUUCCCUGGCGUCUGGGCCUUUCUGCUCUCCGCAAGGAGCUGGGUCGCGACCUGUCACUGCCAGCCGUGCGCUCGCCCUCUGCGCCCCGUCUCGUGGUCACUGCCGCCCUCCCUCCCGCCACACCUGUGAUGAUCGCUAUGGAGCCGCGCCUCAGGUGGCAUUACUAUAAACCUAAGAGGAGAGGCGCCCGUUCGAAUAAGGGCAAAUUAUUUAGUAUUUUGUCUUCAAUGUUCCUGGCAGCUUAAAGUACCAACUGGGACACUUGUCACUAGUUUGAGAAGUGCAGCCAUAGCCUUCGAAGCCCAACCCCAGGUGCUAGCUUUGAAACCCAACUUUGCCACAGACCAGCAUGUUGAUGGAGAGGCUCUCACCCACAAGCAUGGAGUGGGAGGGUGAUUUCCUGGGAGAAAGAAAGCCACUUUCUUUUUGGAAGCCAACGAAUGCCAAGUAGAUGCCACCAAAGCCAGUGAUGGCUUGUGAAAGCCCAGUGUCCUGGGACAGGAAAGACAAGGGGAUCCCAGCCAAGUCUGACUGCAAUGAGGCCAAACGUUGCCCCAGAGCAAGACUUCAUCUCCCUUUUCCUGACAAACCAUUGAUGGCUGCGUUUCACAUUAACCUAGAUUAAAAGUCUCCUUGAAAUGUAUAAUUGUAAUUAAUUAUUGGUUCAUUUGUUUGUCUCACCCCCACCCCCAGAAUGUUACUUAAUGGUAUGGAGGGAUUACCUUUAUCUUUGUAUCAUCAGAGAUCAAUAAAUGCA
Molecule: long non-coding RNA, 827 nt
Filed under: Homo sapiens (human)
Lineage: Eukaryota; Metazoa; Chordata; Mammalia; Primates; Hominidae
Description: HSALNT0300934
Source: RNAcentral